Molecule: ribosomal RNA, 255 nt
Filed under: uncultured Actinomycetales bacterium
Lineage: Bacteria; Bacillati; Actinomycetota; Actinomycetes; Actinomycetales
Description: partial 16S ribosomal RNA
Rfam family: Bacterial small subunit ribosomal RNA
Source: RNAcentral
UUUUGUGGGGUGCUCGAGUGGCGAACGGGUGAGUAACACGUGAGUAACCUGCCCUUGACUUUGGGAUAACUUCAGGAAACUGGGGCUAAUACCGGAUAGGAGCUCCUGCUGAAUGGUGGGGGUUGGAAAGUUUCGGCGGUUGGGGAUGGACUCGCGGCUUAUCAGCUUGUUGGUGGGGUAGUGGCUUACCAAGGCUUUGACGGGUAGCCGGCCUGAGAGGGUGACCGGCCACAUUGGGACUGAGAUACGGCCCAG